Molecule: ribosomal RNA, 1475 nt
Filed under: Vibrio sp. B356
Lineage: Bacteria; Pseudomonadati; Pseudomonadota; Gammaproteobacteria; Vibrionales; Vibrionaceae
Description: bacterial SSU rRNA
Rfam family: Bacterial small subunit ribosomal RNA
Source: RNAcentral
AUUGAACGCUGGCGGCAGGCCUAACACAUGCAAGUCGAGCGGAAACGASUUAWCUGAACCUUCGGGGAACWUUAASGGCGUCGAGCGGCGGACGGGUGAGUAAUGCCUAGGAAAUUGCCCUGAUGUGGGGGAUAACCAUUGGAAACGAUGGCUAAUACCGCAUGAUGCCUACGGGCCAAAGAGGGGGACCUUCGGGCCUCUCGCGUCAGGAUAUGCCUAGGUGGGAUUAGCUAGUUGGUGAGGUAAUGGCUCACCAAGGCGACGAUCCCUAGCUGGUCUGAGAGGAUGAUCAGCCACACUGGAACUGAGACACGGUCCAGACUCCUACGGGAGGCAGCAGUGGGGAAUAUUGCACAAUGGGCGCAAGCCUGAUGCAGCCAUGCCGCGUGUGUGAAGAAGGCCUUCGGGUUGUAAAGCACUUUCAGUCGUGAGGAAGGURGUGUAGUUAAUAGCUGCAUUAUUUGACGUUAGCGACAGAAGAAGCACCGGCUAACUCCGUGCCAGCAGCCGCGGUAAUACGGAGGGUGCGAGCGUUAAUCGGAAUUACUGGGCGUAAAGCGCAUGCAGGUGGUUUGUUAAGUCAGAUGUGAAAGCCCGGGGCUCAACCUCGGAAUAGCAUUUGAAACUGGCAGACUAGAGUACUGUAGAGGGGGGUAGAAUUUCAGGUGUAGCGGUGAAAUGCGUAGAGAUCUGAAGGAAUACCGGUGGCGAAGGCGGCCCCCUGGACAGAUACUGACACUCAGAUGCGAAAGCGUGGGGAGCAAACAGGAUUAGAUACCCUGGUAGUCCACGCCGUAAACGAUGUCUACUUGGAGGUUGUGGCCUUGAGCCGUGGCUUUCGGAGCUAACGCGUUAAGUAGACCGCCUGGGGAGUACGGUCGCAAGAUUAAAACUCAAAUGAAUUGACGGGGGCCCGCACAAGCGGUGGAGCAUGUGGUUUAAUUCGAUGCAACGCGAAGAACCUUACCUACUCUUGACAUCCAGAGAACUUUYCAGAGAUGRAUUGGUGCCUUCGGGAACUCUGAGACAGGUGCUGCAUGGCUGUCGUCAGCUCGUGUUGUGAAAUGUUGGGUUAAGUCCCGCAACGAGCGCAACCCUUAUCCUUGUUUGCCAGCGAGUAAUGUCGGGAACUCCAGGGAGACUGCCGGUGAUAAACCGGAGGAAGGUGGGGACGACGUCAAGUCAUCAUGGCCCUUACGAGUAGGGCUACACACGUGCUACAAUGGCGCAUACAGAGGGCAGCAAGCUAGCGAUAGUGAGCGAAUCCCAAAAAGUGCGUCGUAGUCCGGAUUGGAGUCUGCAACUCGACUCCAUGAAGUCGGAAUCGCUAGUAAUCGUGGAUCAGAAUGCCACGGUGAAUACGUUCCCGGGCCUUGUACACACCGCCCGUCACACCAUGGGAGUGGGCUGCAAAAGAAGUAGGUAGUUUAACCUUCGGGAGGACGCUUACCACUUUGUGGUUCAUGACUGGGGUG